CUCCUCCUCUGUUGCAAUUUUUCUCCAUCUUUUUUUAUGGCCGCCUUUCAAAUAUUUGAAGACCAUGAUCAUGUCUCCCCUUAAUCUCCUCUUUUCCAAACUAAACAUACCCAGUUCCUUCAGCCUUUGCCCAGAUGGGUUGCAUUCCAUCCCUUCGAUCAUCUUUGUCAGUCACCUCUGAAUUCUUUCCACUUUCUCU
This is a long non-coding RNA of Dermochelys coriacea (leatherback sea turtle), 199 nucleotides long. RefSeq lists it as uncharacterized. NCBI's taxonomy places the organism in Eukaryota, Metazoa, Chordata, Testudines, Dermochelyidae. The record is from RefSeq and is a predicted model, not a curated record. The transcript is spliced from 3 exons.